This 468-nucleotide ribosomal RNA is filed under the name uncultured bacterium. Its description in RNAcentral is "partial 16S ribosomal RNA". It matches the Rfam family "Bacterial small subunit ribosomal RNA", at positions 28 to 507 of the family's 1533-position model. The record is from RNAcentral.
GACGAACGCUGGCGGCGUGCUUAACACAUGCAAGUCGAACGGAAAGACCCUGCUUUUGUGGGGUGCUCGAGUGGCGAACGGGUGAGUAACACGUGAGUAACCUGCCCUUGACUUUGGGAUAACUUCAGGAAACUGGGGCUAAUACCGGAUAGGAGCUCCUGCUGCAUGGUGGGGGUUGGAAAGUUUCGGCGGUUGGGGAUGGACUCGCGGCUUAUCAGCUUGUUGGUGGGGUAGUGGCUUACCAAGGCUUUGACGGGUAGCCGGCCUGAGAGGGUGACCGGCCACAUUGGGACUGAGAUACGGCCCAGACUCCUACGGGAGGCAGCAGUGGCGAAUAUUGCACAAUGGGCGGAAGCCUGAUGCAGCAACGCCGCGUGCGGGAUGACGGCCUUCGGGUUGUAAACCGCUUUCGCCUGUGACGAAGCGUGAGUGACGGUAAUGGGUAAAGAAGCACCGGCUAACUACGUG